AGUGAACGCUGGCGGCAGGCCUAAUACAUGCAAGUCGAACGGCAGCACAGUGGAGCUUGCUCCAUGGGUGGCGAGUGGCGGACGGGUGAGGAAUACAUGGGAAUCUGCCCAGUCGUGGGGAUAACGUAUGGAAACGUACGCUAAUACCGCAUGCGCCCUUCGGGGGAAAGUCGGGGACCGCAAGGCCUGACGCGAUUGGAUGAGCCCAUGUUCGAUUAGCUAGUUGGCGGGUAACGGCCCACCAAGGCGACGAUCGAUAGCUGGUCUGAGAGGAUGAUCAGCCACACUGGAACUGAGACACGGUCCAGACUCCUACGGGAGGCAGCAGUAGGGAAUAUUGGACAAUGGGGGCAACCCUGAUCCAGCCAUGCCGCGUGAGUGAAGAAGGCCCUCGGGUUGUAAAGCUCUUUUGUUGGGGAAGAAAAGCAGUUGGUUAAUACCCGAUUGUUCUGACGGUACCCAAAGAUAAGCACCGGCUAACUUCGUGCCAGCAGCCGCGGUAA
Molecule: ribosomal RNA, 503 nt
Filed under: uncultured bacterium
Lineage: Bacteria
Description: bacterial SSU rRNA
Rfam family: Bacterial small subunit ribosomal RNA
Source: RNAcentral